CCUACGGGAGGCAGCAGUGGGGAAUAUUGGGCAAUGGGCGCAAGCCUGACCCAGCGACGCCGCGUGCGGGAUGAAGGCCUUCGGGUUGUAAACCGCUUUCAGCAGGGAAGAAGCGAAAGUGACGGUACCUGCAGAAGAAGCACCGGCUAACUAUGUGCCAGCAGCCGCGGUAAUACAUAGGGUGCAAGCGUUGUCCGGAAUUAUUGGGCGUAAAGAGCUCGUAGGUGGUUCGUUACGUCGGAUGUGAAAACCUGAGGCUCAACCUCAGGCCUGCAUUCGAUACGGGCGAACUGGAGUGUGGUAGGGGAGACUGGAAUUCCUGGUGUAGCGGUGGAAUGCGCAGAUAUCAGGAGGAACACCAAUGGCGAAGGCAGGUCUCUGGGCCACUACUGACACUGAGGAGCGAAAGCGUGGGGAGCAAACAGGAUUAGAUACCCUGGUAGUCCACGCUGUAAACGGUGGGCACUAGUUGUGGGAACCUUCCACGGUUUCUGCGACGUAGCAAACGCAUUAAGUGCCCCGCCUGGGGAGACGANCGCAGAUAACUACAANAGAGUAGAGCGUGAGAGUCGCGAGACGACGACGAGGAGAGG
Molecule: ribosomal RNA, 593 nt
Filed under: uncultured bacterium
Lineage: Bacteria
Description: bacterial SSU rRNA
Rfam family: Bacterial small subunit ribosomal RNA (bases 1-524)
Source: RNAcentral